Molecule: long non-coding RNA, 1130 nt
Filed under: Homo sapiens (human)
Lineage: Eukaryota; Metazoa; Chordata; Mammalia; Primates; Hominidae
Description: HSALNT0405128
Source: RNAcentral
AAGAGAUCAAAGAGGUCAGCUUCUGUUGUCCCGGGAAAGGGAGGCAGGUGACAAGCUAACUCUGCUUCAAAAUCAACCAUCCGGUGGACACUGUGUGGCUGCCAUCUGCCUGGCACAAGGUUUCAGCAUCGGGCCCCUGGGCAUGUUUGUGGAGAUGCCAGCAGAAGACCAGACGACCGUCAACAGAACCUGGAUGGGAAGGCCCUUCCUAUGCUGAGCCAUGGGUUUCACUCUAGAAGCCACUAUCCCUGGGGAGGAGAAAACUGUGCUGCCUGUCACCAGUACUUCACCCAUGUAAUGGAACCACACGGCAAAGGACGCAGCCUGGGUAUCAGGAGACCACACACUUGAACAGCUCAAGCCUGUGGCCAGAGGUGAGAACCCGGAAGCCUCUCUCCCGCCCGGCUGACUGAGCUCCCGCAUUCCUGCUGCUUCCUUAAAAGGACCAUCCAGGCAUUUGCCUGUGAACUUAAAGUGAUCACACCCUGUUCCCUUAUAAAUACUGCUAGCUGUCAUGCGCUAACUCUUCAUUUCUGCCUUGCAUGACCCAGGGACAGAAGACUGCCCUCCCUACUCAUGGCACCUCCUUGUCCAAAACCUGUAGGUAAAAUCUCUGAACUUGUUUCCUAUUGUGGUGCUGUGUUUCCGAAAAACUAGGAGGUGUUUGCCUAGGUUAAGUUUUCCCCGGGGAUGCCAGUGAAAACACAAAAUCAGGCUCCCAGUGCCACAGCAAUGGUCAGGUGGGCAUAAACUGGACACAGUUUAAACAAGUUUCUCUCGUGAGGGACCCCUGGUCACAGGUCAGACAACUAAGCAUGAGGCAGUCCACCAGGUCUAAGAAGUAUCCCGUGAAAGGCGCACUGUAGAGACCACGACCAGUUCCCUUCAUUUUUCUGGAGGGUUGGGUUGGCAGCCGCUCUGGUAUGGUGCUCCCCAUUUAGCUGGGGGUUCUCAGAACAACUGGACACCUAGUUGUGCCCAGAUGCCCAGCCCUCCAAGAGCUGAGAGCUUACAGGGGUCCCAGAGACCAGACCUGGGGCCCAGAGGCCUGACGGAGAAAGCACCCACUGGCCGUGUGCGGGGGCUGCUGCCACUCUGACCACACCAAACCCGGCCCUUGCUCCCCUGGU